GUUCCCAGCACCUGAUGUCUGCUCCAUGCAUGGGUGUCAGGCAGCUCUUUUAAAACCCGGCCCUGCUGAGAUCCAUGGCAAAACUCCUAUCGACUUCAGCAAGGCAGGACUUCAAUCCUGGCCUUCGGUGCAAGUAGGAGGCAGCUUACUCCGCAUGCAACAGGCUGGCUCAUGGGGAGAUCUAGCUGAAACCAUAAAUAAGUCGGAACAACGUUGGGAGGGUGGCUUGAAGGGGAAGUGUGAAGGAGAAAUAUGAAACAAAUAAAAGCGUAAGGAGCGGAGCAGGAAGGAGGGUAGAUGGUGGAGCCAUCCCCGAAGCUCCCUAAAAGUGAAUUAUUUAGUCAUUGCAGCAGGGCUCUGCUGAGACAGUCUGGCGUGGUGAACGCAGGCGGCGCGUGCCCCCUCCAGCCAGCCCCGUUCCCUCGCCCUGUCUGUCCCCUGCUCCUGUCGACUCCUUAACGCACAGUGGCGUCUGAUGCUUUGCUGAAGGAAAAUGAUAAUUGCCUUUUUAUUCAUUUUGAUAGCAUCAUGAAACAUUAAAAUCGGAUUUGGUCGGUCACAUGGGAGCGUCAUCCAUCAGCGACUUGGUGUGCAAGUGUGUGCGCGAGAGUUUUCCCCACUGCAGGCGGAAGGCAUUAUUAAAGAAACUAAUCAUUAAAAAAAAAAUAGUACAAAUAACCUAGUUAUCUGGUGAGCCUAAUGGCUUUAUUUUUCCAUUCUCCGGCAUAAUGAGAGCAGUCUGGGCUGCUGGAAUCUGCCUCUCUGAGAGCCUAAUUGUUUUUAAAUGUCUUUGCUAACCACUUCACAUAGAGCCCAUAAAUCUGUUUUCGGGUAACUGAGAGCCACGCUUCUGAGCUCCCUUUCACAAUGACACAUUUGUGCGUUAAUUAAGAACACGUUUAGGAAGACGUAAUCCUUCAGUCUUUAACACGUGACCGUUCGCUGCGCUGGAGGAGGGUCCGCACGGUGGGCUUCUGUCUGCUGCUGCUGGGAGCGUGGCUGUGCGAAUCGUCCUGAGCCGUGGAUGGCCACCCGUGGGGCUCCUAGCAAGAGAAAUGCUCCCAGGCAGAGCUUUCAAGUGUUUCUCCGCCUUAGCGGAUGCUGCAGAAAACCUUGCACAAAAUCGUCGCCUGGGAAGUGUGCGCGACUCCUCAGAAGCAGCAAUAGGCUUCCUCCACCUAAGAAAAACCAGCGGCGAAAUUGUUUUGGAUUUACUGAAAAACCAGCGGCCAAAUUGUUUUGGAUUUACUGGUGCUUUUACUAAAGGAAACGCGGAGGGUGGGGGUGUGCAUGGGGCGGGGGAUUGGUUUUGGGAGAAAUCUGUGCCUUCACUACCAGUGUCUUCCUUGCCCAGAAAGACAAUCUGCCCAGUGUCACUGCGGUGAAGGGUGUUUGUGCUUGAAAGCUUGCAAAGAUUAAUUUUUCCAACUAUUUGAGUUGGACUAAUAAAAGAUAUCGGAUUUACCCAAAGAA
This is a long non-coding RNA of Alligator mississippiensis (American alligator), 1473 nucleotides long. RefSeq lists it as uncharacterized. The record is from RefSeq and is a predicted model, not a curated record. The transcript is spliced from 2 exons. Lineage: Eukaryota; Metazoa; Chordata; Crocodylia; Alligatoridae.